UAGUGAUUAACGCGAAGAACCUUACCUGGCCUUGACAUGCAUCUCUAAGUUGGUGAAAGCCAGCGAGUCCCGAAAGGGACAAUUUGCACAGGUGCUGCAUGGCUGUCGUCAGCUCGUGUCGUGAGAUGUUGGGUUAAGUCCCGCAACGAGCACAACCCCUGUGAACUGUUGCCACCGAGCCGUGAGGCUCGAGCACUCUGUUCAGACUGCCCCGCUUUAACGGGGAGGAAGGUGGGGACGACGUCAAGUCAGUAUGGCCCUUACGGCCAGGGCUGCACACGUACUACAAUGCCCAGUACAAAACGAUCCAAGACCGCGAGGUGGAGGAAAUCACUAAAACUGGGCCCAGUUCAGAUUGAAGUCUGCAACUCGACUUCAUGAAGCCGGAAUCGCUAGUAAUGGCGCAUCAGCUACGGCGCCGUGAAUACGUUCCCGGGCCUUGUCACACCGAAUCGAAUUC
RNAcentral lists this ribosomal RNA (460 nucleotides) under uncultured soil bacterium. RNAcentral describes it as "bacterial SSU rRNA". It matches the Rfam family "Bacterial small subunit ribosomal RNA", at positions 951 to 1384 of the family's 1533-position model. The record is from RNAcentral.